CAACAGACGUUUAUUUUCUCACAGUUCUGGAGGCUGAAGUCCAAGAUCAAACUGCUGGCAGGGUUGGUUUCUGGUGCAGACUCUCUCCUUGGCUUGUAGACAUCACCUUCUCCCUGUGUGCUCCUGUGGCCUCUU
This 135-nucleotide microRNA precursor is filed under the name Chlorocebus sabaeus (green monkey). RNAcentral's name for it is "miRNA (ENSCSAG00000021383.1)". The record is from RNAcentral. Lineage: Eukaryota; Metazoa; Chordata; Mammalia; Primates; Cercopithecidae.